RNAcentral lists this ribosomal RNA (254 nucleotides) under uncultured bacterium. RNAcentral's name for it is "partial 16S ribosomal RNA". It matches the Rfam family "Bacterial small subunit ribosomal RNA", at positions 524 to 776 of the family's 1533-position model. The record is from RNAcentral.
UACGUAGGGAGCAAGCGUUGUCCGGAUUUAUUGGGCGUAAAGAGCUCGUAGGCGGCUUAGAAAGUCAGGUGUUAAACCUCCAGGCUCAACCUGGAGCCGCCACUUGAUACUUCUAUGGCUUGAGUUCGGUAGGGGUAAGCGGAAUUCCUGGUGUAGCGGUGAAAUGCGUAGAGAUCCGGAGGAACACCAAAGGCGAAGGCAGUGUCCUGGGGAGUACCUGACGCUCAGGUGCGAAAGCCAGGGGAGCGAACGGG